CUACAUGAAGCUGGAAUCGCUAGUAAUCGCGGAUCAGAAUGCCGCGGUGAAUACGUUCCCGGGUCUUGUACACACCGCCCGUCACACCAUGGGAGUCGGAAAUGCCCGAAGUCUGUGACCUAACCGUAAGGAAGGAGCAGCCGAAGGCAGGUCGGAUGACUGGGGUGAAGUCGUAACAAGGUACC
Molecule: ribosomal RNA, 185 nt
Filed under: uncultured bacterium
Lineage: Bacteria
Description: partial 16S ribosomal RNA
Rfam family: Bacterial small subunit ribosomal RNA
Source: RNAcentral